Molecule: long non-coding RNA, 209 nt
Filed under: Elaeis guineensis (African oil palm)
Lineage: Eukaryota; Viridiplantae; Streptophyta; Magnoliopsida; Arecales; Arecaceae
Description: long non-coding RNA (EGUI_LNC066605)
Source: RNAcentral
GGUUGAUCAACGAUUAAGUAUCGUUCUAGGGUUAAACGAUCAAUACGAUUGACAUUUGACCUAGUGCAAGUGUUGUAGGAGGAUCGAUUAGCAAUUUGACUACUAAUUGGCUUAAUUUGAUUAAGCCAAUGGGUUAAGAUUAAGUUUAAUUGAAUAUGAUUUAAUUAUAUUUGGAUUGGGCUUGAUUGGAUCAAGUCCAAUUGGUUUAU